This is an RNA transcript of Ornithorhynchus anatinus (platypus), 6586 nucleotides long. It is a transcript of the gene named zinc and ring finger 2, with no coding region annotated. The record is from RefSeq and is a predicted model, not a curated record. The transcript has 6 exons. Lineage: Eukaryota; Metazoa; Chordata; Mammalia; Monotremata; Ornithorhynchidae.
CCAUGGGCGCCAGGCAGAGCGGCCCGGCCGCCGCCAACGGCCGCACGCGGGCCUACUCGGGCUCCGACUUGCCGUCGGGCGGCGCGGGCGCUAACGGGGUGGGGGCCCGGGCGGCGGCGGCGGCGGCGGCGGGAGGCCCCUCGGCCCCGCUGUCCGGCCCGGCCCCGCUCGUCCCGACGGCGGCCCGGAGCCGCUCCCUGGCCACCCCGGCGGCGUUGGCGGCGGGGGCGGCGGCGGCGGCCGGCCGAGCCGCCCCGGCUUCGGGCCCCCUCCCGAGCGGCGCCGUGGGCGCGGCCGGGGCCCCCUCCGGCUCGCAGGACUCUGUGAACAGCAGCCCCGACGACGGCGGCGUUGGCCGGGACCGGGACCGGGACCGUUCUGCCGGCGGCGGUGGCGGCGGCGGCGGCGGCGGCGGGCCCCGCCUGGUCAUCGGCUCUCUGCCCGCCCACCUGUCCCCGCACAUGUUUGGAGGCUUCAAGUGCCCAGUGUGUUCAAAGUUUGUACCUUCAGAUGAAAUGGAUUUGCAUCUUGUGAUGUGUUUAACAAAGCCAAGGAUAACCUAUAAUGAGGAUGUGCUGAGUAAAGAUGCUGGGGAAUGUGCAAUAUGCCUGGAAGAGUUGCAGCAGGGAGAUACGAUUGCAAGACUGCCUUGUCUAUGUAUAUAUCAUAAAGGUUGCAUAGACGAAUGGUUUGAGGUAAAUAGAUCUUGCCCUGAACACCCCUCAGAUUAAGGACCAGAUUCCUGUGUAUAGCAGAUGCCCAGAGAUUCAUCCCUGUAAAAAGCUCAACAGCUGCCCUGAUUAAUAAGGAAAGGCUUCAUCCCUCUCCUGGAAUACUAGCAGUAAAGCUACUUACCCCUCCAGUUUCCUCUUGAUAUUCAAGAAGACAGAACUUAAGUAUUUUCUUCAGUUACUUCAGUUGUUUCCUUCAUUUACUUCUGGGCUGCAGGCUUUCUUAUGUCGUCUUUUCAAGAUGCUUGGAAAACUGAAAAGAUAUGAGAAUCUGAAAACAAAUAUGCGGGCAUACCCAACCAGAAAUCUGAGUUCUGUGGAACUGGUUGACAAAGAUGGACAAUCAAAUGGAAGAAUCUCACUGAAAGGACAGUUGCUUGCCAUAGAGCUCAGUGUACCAAACUUGCAUAUAAAGGACACACAGGGAUUUUGAAAAUGCUGCACACUGAAUAGUCAUCUCCCCAGUUCUUGAUAAAUAUUUUGUAUUCAAACGCCAAAGUUAACUGAUUUCUUAGUUCAUUUUUUUUUUAAGUUCUUUAGCACUGCAAGCAGGUUAUGGUGUUUUCUUUUGAUUCAUCUUCCUUUUUUUCCAGCAUUUCUUCAUUUCUGAACUCCUGAAUGAGGAUGAUUACAUAUUUUCUUCUCAUGAAUUAAAAUUUCAAACGCCAAACUAAGAGAUAUAAUCUAUCAGUGAAAGUUUAUUCCUUGAAUAUCAAUCAUGGUCUCAGUGUCCAUGAUCUCAAAUCUGCAUCCCAACACACUUCCCCCCCCCCCCAUGAGUGGAAAAUGUAAAUUUCUGCAUAGGAAAAUAUAGUAUAUAUUUAAUUUUUUUAAUUGAAUAUUUAAUUUUGUCAGAAUGCAAUCCAAAGAGUAAAAUCAAGUUAGGUUGUUACAUUUGAACUGCUCAACUAAGAUUGCUACACUGUUACAGUUAAGACAUUCUCAUUUCUUUUUUAACUGCUUGCCGAUAAGACUACAGUGAAACAUAAACUUGCAGCUAUGCAACUUUUUUAGGAGAAUAAGAAUUACCAAUUUUAAAUGCUGCCAGCAACGGUAAUUUCAUUUUAACGGGUAUUUUUUCAUUUAAUUUUUUCAGGAAGUUAUUUUACUGUAUUUUAUUUUUCAUUUCCAGGCUGUCACUCUAGGUUUUGGGGGAGGGAGGGAGUCUGAAAUUUAGGUUAGUUACAGAAAUGAGCAAAAGAAGAGUUUCCAAGUUACUGGUAUUGAACUCUGGGGUUAGAACUCACUUUAAUUUUGGGGAACAUUUGAUGUAGAUUUAUUUUUUAAUCAAAAUUAGAACAUCUUUAAUCAUUUGUCACAAUCUAGAGGCUGGCAUUUGCUAAGUAAUGUUUUUUCACAAGUACCAACAUUUUCUUAAUUUAUAAUUUAUUCAUGUAUUAUUAUUGAACUGUGUGGAACAGAGUACCUGAAGAGACUUCUUAACGAAGUUGUCAGCAGGAAAAAAUUGUGAGCAAAAUUUUUUGAAUAACUAUUAGCAACAGUAAAAUAUAUCUGAAUAGUUCAAAAAAUACUGGAAGAGAUAUCAGGGCUAGAAAAGAACGUCUUUUAAAAAUCAAGAAUUUACAAAUAUGUAAUUUCUGCAUUUUCAACAUAAAGGAAAAAUGCUAUCAAUGAAUAUUAGCAGUGCACUUUAAUUGUAUGGCAUAAAUGAAAGUUGCCUAGUAAGGAUUUCUUACUGCAAACUUUUCCUCGAAAGGGUUUAGGUAUUAGGUUGUCCAUUUAAUGCUAUUGCACUCAUGUUUUUAAUUUCUUUAGUUUUUUUUUCCUAUUCUGUUGUUUCUGUUUUCUUUUAAGAAGGACAAGUACAGAAGCAAAUGCUGCUACCCAGAAUAACUUGUUGGUUGUAAACUGACUUUUCAAUUGCUUGCUUGGGAUUGUAGAGUAUAUAAAACACUUUUCCUUAGAGUUAUGAUGUGAAAUGCCUUUUGUUAUGCUGCAAGUGAUAAAAGAAAUCCAAAAUUCCUUGUGUCCCCUGACAGCAUAGUUUCAACUGGGCUUUUUAAACCGUUAAGGAAAAAGUUCCUCCUUCUUUAUUGGUCUUAUUAAAUCUCAAUGGAAUCCUUCUUAUGUCAUGUAUUUUAUAUUAUGUAAAUUUUUACUCCCCCUCCCCUUCAAAUUAUAAUCAAAUAAUACAUUAAUUUUCCCUAAUUGUGGUAAGAAUUAAUUUUGUUGCUUUGCAUUCUUGAAGGAAAAGUCAGUUAUGAAGCUCUGAUAGUUUACUGCCGACAUUUUCCUGGAGUUUAUUUUUAUGAUGUGAUUUGUUUCUUUAAUUUCAUUUGCUGAAAAUCAGUGUGAAAAUGUUGGUUUAAAAUUCACUUUUUGUGCACACUGGUAACUCUCCAAUCUGUCCCACAGAUCAAGGUGUUAAUGUUGUCAAAAUAAUUUGCUUUUCAAUGAAGAAAAUCAGUGUUGAUUAAUAUCCUGUUGUGCUAGAUUAUUAAAAUUUAUAUAGAGCAGAGUUUCAACUGAAAUUAGUCAUGGCUAGCCUUUCCUUUAAUAAAUUCUUCAGAAGCUAUCUUUAGCACUUAAAUUUAGAGCUUCUUCCGAUUACUUUUUCAAAAUAUUAAUCUCAUAUAAUUAUGUGUUAGAAAAUUGAAUUUGAAAUAAAAAUGCUCUAGAGUUUGGAUUCAAAACCAAAAGUUAAGAUAUUCUAGAAAAUGCAGGCAAUACACUGCUCUAAGUUACAGACUUCUUUUUAAAUACUCUAUAAUAAUGUUUGUUCACCACAUCUUUAUGUUAUCAGAGAGAUGUUUUAAGAUUUGAGUCCUAACUAUUGAAGGUUAAAUGUCCAGGUUUUGAUAUGAAGGCUGAAAAUCCUGAUUAGUGAUCGAAUUAGGCCCAUGUCACUUUUGUAAAUACUUUUUUUAAAGAAGAAAAUGUGCUGCCUUUAGGUAGGGAAAGGCCACUCCUGCAUAUAGGGGAAACAAUAGGUUUUAAGGUUUUUAUUUGAGUGCCAUGGUUGGUCUAUAAACACGUUGAUGCCAAUUUUGACUCCCCGAGGUUCCUUCAGCUGGCUCAUUUCUUGCCAUAGUAUGUAAAAGAAACUCAGGUUUUACUGCAAUGAGCAAUUUGUUAGUAGUCAGUAUAUUUUAAAAUCAUUUUCAAAACCUGAUCAUGAUCCUGGUCAUAGUCUGUGUUUCAAGAGCAGCAAUGUAAGUAAUGCAUGUUUGAGUGUUUGAUUUUCUGGACUAGAUGAUACAUCAAGAAAGUCACACUGCUGUUUAUUCUCUAUUCCUUAUAGUGCAACAGUUCUCUUUCUCUUUAAAUGCAAUGAGGUAUUUAAAUUUUCUCUUUUGACAUUUGACUUGAUUGAAGUGUAAAAGAAAAAAAUGCAUGUAAAGCCUUUCUGCAGUACCUGUAAUAUUUAUUUCAAAAAAUUAUUUGUUUAAAUGAGUUCAUUUGAGCUCAUUUGAGCAAUGUUAGAAAUUCAUUUUCAAGAUUUAAUUUACUACAGUAUUUCUCAAAUCAGGGGUCGGGUAGGUUAAGACCAAUGUUUUGAGUCUUUAUUUGAAAGACUAUGUAAACUAUGUAAAAAAAAAAACAAAAACCGCCAACUCUGGUAUUUACAUACUAAUGAAAUUGGAGGGUGAGAAUUUCCUAAUAAGCUCCACUAUUCACUAUUCUCUCAAGCCAUGCCAUACGUAAGAAGGGGAUUGAAUUCACCUUCUAAUUGGCUUCUACAUAAUUCAUCAACUGAUUUCCACAUCAUUUUUAGCUUGAAGAAUAUGUUCAAGUCAGUUUAAGCCAUUUUUCAGUGAGAGGAAAUUAGUGAAAUUAGUGAAGUGAUGAUCAUUAGUAUUAAUGCAAUUUGCCUAUCACAAGUAGGUGGCUUAGAAGAGGCAGCCAUUUUUCUUGCAGUUAAAGUUGCCUUAGGGAAAUCUUGUUAGGCAGCCAUUGUGAGAUUGACUGUAAAGUCAUUUUAUUAUUCUUGUGCAAGUGUUUUUUUCCUAGUAGAGAAGUGCCUAGCUCACAGGGAGUUGGGUUAUUUGCUUGCCUUUUCUUCUACAGUGUGUGACUUCUGAUUCAUUCUUUGGUUCUGUGACUAUGUAUGCUUUCUAUCUCUUGGGUUUUCAGCUUUCUUCCGUAGUUAGAUGUAGUCAUUCUAAGUGGCCACUUGAUAUCUUCCUUCGAGAUGAGAGGAAGGGUUUUCGCUAAUUGCCACUGGAAGCAAUGAUAUUCCUGUCUGAACAACAGCAGGGGCAGUUUUUCCAGUUGUUCAACUCUGUCCAAGCAAAUUGCCUGGAGUGUGGGACCCUGAAAUGACCUUUCAGCUUUUAAAAGCAAAAGCAAUAUGUUAUAUUUCAAACAGAGGUUUUGAUUUACAAUUGGUAAUGAAUGGCUUACCCCCACCCAGUCACUUGCUGGCAGUUUGCCAAAAGUAAGAGUCAAGAUCCUUCCCAAGACUAAAUGUGAGAAUGAAUCAUUGGUUUUUGAAGAUGGGGCAGGACAGUACUGUUUUAACUAAGGUCCAGAGAAUCGGUAUAUUCAAUUCAGAAGCUGUUUUCCCCAAAAUAAACAGCUGUGGGGUCUUUUUAAAAGGAAAGGCUUAAACUGGAAGUAAUUAAGAUGUAUCCUCUUCCAUGCCUUCUACCUAUGUCUCUAUAAAGGAGCUUCACCUCCUGACCAUUUUUUGGAGCAGUGGUACCUCCACAUUCUCCCUGCUCCCAGAGUAUGAAAAUUAGACCUCACACUGAUGGGUUAUAUUUGCCUUAAUCAGAUCUCUUUCGGCAGAAGGUGUUGUGCAACAAUGUAUUUCAUUUUACUUCUUCCACAUGUCUUGUAACUUAGGAGUUUCAAUGUUCACAAAUAAAAGAAACCACUUGUAAUCAUAACUGGUAACUAACCUCUUGAUGCAUUUGGUCAUGGUUUCCUUUCAGCUCUCCUGUAUCAGGAACUUGCAUCAAAUAUUCUGUGGUACCUAAAUAGUCACAAGCAUCCAGGUUUAACAUGUAUGAAAAGUUCUCGGGCACUAUCCAUCAGGUGUCUAUAAGCUUACCAGUUCGAAUUGAAGUGAAAUUCAACUACACUACCCCUGUUGUGUCUUGGGAAAUAAAUCUCCUAGCUAGCUUAAUCAAAGUAUCUCAAUAUUUUGAGAUGGAGAGGUGAGAGGAAGGCUCUUUUUUUAAAGGCAUAUGUUAUAGCCUUUACUAUGUGCCAGGCACUGUACUAAGCACUGGGGUAGAUACAAGUUAAUCAGGUUGGGCACAGCCCAUGUCCCACAUGGGGCUCCUGACCUGUAUCCCCAUUUUACAGGUGAAGUAACUGGAGCACAGAGGAGUCACAGCGGACAAAUGGUGGUACCGGGAUUAGAACUCAGGUCCUAGGCCUGUGCUCUUUCCACUAGGCCAUAGUGCUUCUCUUAAGGAACUGUAUUUUGGACUGCCCAAUUUUAGUGUAUUUAAAAGAUGAUAGCCCAGCAGUGCCAUGCAACUGAGGAAAGAAUAUAUUUUCUGACACCUUAUCAUUACUUAGAGUACAGUGUAAAGGACACAGCUACUUUUGCAUACCUCUUUCUAAGAAAAUAAAAUGGGGGGCCAGAAACAGUAAGUGAAACUUCAUAUCAGCUUAUGAAAUGCUUGAUUUUUGUAACAAUAAUAGGCAAGAAGUCUUCAUAAUUCCCAGCAUAAGCAAAGAAGGUCAUUUGAAAUGUUUAAGACAAAUACUGCUUGUAAACUUUGUAUUUGAGGAUGAUUGGAAGAUGAAACUGUAAAGUCUGUGGUUUUUUGGUCGUCUGGCAGUACACAAUCAUAUGAAUAUUUUUUCAGUGAUUUAGGAUAUGUUUAAUAACAUUCCAUUAUGUAAAAUAUGUAAUAAAUCUUUUGAAGCACAACGUG